This 339-nucleotide ribosomal RNA is filed under the name Triticum aestivum (bread wheat). RNAcentral's name for it is "partial small subunit ribosomal RNA". The record is from RNAcentral. Lineage: Eukaryota; Viridiplantae; Streptophyta; Magnoliopsida; Poales; Poaceae.
AUGCUUGAAAAUUUUGGCGAGAUGCUAUAUGAGGGUGGGUCAUGUGUUCUGAUUGAAAUUGUGCCUCGCCGUGAAUACAUAGCAAGGCAUGUAAAGAAAGAUUCUCGAGACAAAUGGUGUAAAAAUGAAUUCCUCGUCCAGUUCAAUGAGCUUGCUGAUGAAUUCAAGUGUGAAUGUGGAAUGUUUGAGCAUUUCGGCAUGGUGUGCAGCCAUGCACUAAAGGAGGUUCCAGUCAAACACGUGCUGAAGCGUUGGACAAGGGAUGCAAUGAAUAUACCGCCUCCAGAGCUUCUCCUUUACCAGAAAGACCAAGGCCCUCUCAAGUACUCCUCACGGUGA